This 324-nucleotide ribosomal RNA is filed under the name uncultured bacterium. RNAcentral describes it as "bacterial SSU rRNA". It matches the Rfam family "Bacterial small subunit ribosomal RNA", at positions 32 to 353 of the family's 1533-position model. The record is from RNAcentral.
AAAACCCUGACGGCGAGCUCUUAUGCAAACAAGUCGAAACGGUUCCAAUUAUAUCAGGAGAUAGUGACGGAUGGGUGAGUAACGCGUAAGUAACCUGCCCUUAAGUACGGGGAUAACUCUGAGAAAUAGGAGCUAAUCCCUUAUGUGGUGAUGGAGUUAAGGCUUCAUCAUUAAAGCCUUAGGGUGCUUGAGGAUGGGCAUACAUCCGAUUAGCUAGUUGGUAGGGUAAGGGCUUACCAAAGGCGAUGAUCGGUAGCUGGUUUGAGAGGUCGGUCAGCCACACUGGGAUUGAGAUACGGCCCAGGAUACCUACGGGAGGCAGCA